GACGAACGCUGGCGGCGUGCUUAACACAUGCAAGUCGAACGGAAAGGCCCUGCUUGCAGGGUACUCGAGUGGCGAACGGGUGAGUAACACGUGGGUGAUCUGCCCUGCACUUCGGGAUAAGCCUGGGAAACUGGGUCUAAUACCGGAUAGGAGCCAUUUUUAGUGUGAUGGUUGGAAAGUUUUUUCGGUGUAGGAUGAGCUCGCGGCCUAUCUGCUUGUUUGUGGGGUAAUGGCCUACCAAGGAGGCGACGGGUAGCCGGCCUGAGAGGGUGGACGGCCACAUUGGGACUGGGAUACGGCCCAGACUCCUACGGGAGGCCGCAGUGGGGAAUAUUGCACAAUGGGCGCAAGCCUGAUGCAGCGACGCCGCGUGGGGGAUGACGGCCUUCGGGUUGGAAACUCCUUUCGCUAGGGACGAAGCUUUUUGUGACGGUACCUAGAUAAGAAGCACCGGCUAACUACGUG
Molecule: ribosomal RNA, 465 nt
Filed under: uncultured bacterium
Lineage: Bacteria
Description: partial 16S ribosomal RNA
Rfam family: Bacterial small subunit ribosomal RNA
Source: RNAcentral